GCGGGUUCGAUUCCCGCUGACCGAGACUGUGACUUAAUAAAGCCCCGGGAGGAGGGAGAGGAUUCUGG
This is a microRNA precursor of Gadus morhua (Atlantic cod), 68 nucleotides long. The record is from Ensembl. NCBI's taxonomy places the organism in Eukaryota, Metazoa, Chordata, Actinopteri, Gadiformes, Gadidae.